AGUGAACGCUGGCGGUAGGCCUAACACAUGCAAGUCGAACGGCAGCACAGUAAGAGCUUGCUCUUACGGGUGGCGAGUGGCGGACGGGUGAGGAAUACAUCGGAAUCUACUUUUUCGUGGGGGAUAACGUAGGGAAACUUACGCUAAUACCGCAUACGACCUACGGGCGAAAGCAGGGGAUCUUCGGACCUUGCGCGAUUGAAUGAGCCGAUGUCGGAUUAGCUAGUUGGCGGGGUAAAGGCCCACCAAGGCGACGAUCCGUAGCUGGUCUGAGAGGAUGAUCAGCCACACUGGAACUGAGACACGGUCCAGACUCCUACGGGAGGCAGCAGUGGGGAAUAUUGGACAAUGGGCGCAAGCCUGAUCCAGCCAUACCGCGUGGGUGAAGAAGGCCUUCGGGUUGUAAAGCCCUUUUGUUGGGAAAGAAAAGCAGCAGGUUAAUACCCCGCUGUUCUGACGGUACCCAAAGAAUAGGCACCGGCUAACUUCGUG
RNAcentral lists this ribosomal RNA (492 nucleotides) under uncultured bacterium. RNAcentral describes it as "partial 16S ribosomal RNA". It matches the Rfam family "Bacterial small subunit ribosomal RNA", at positions 29 to 507 of the family's 1533-position model. The record is from RNAcentral.